RNAcentral lists this unclassified non-coding RNA (513 nucleotides) under Leishmania donovani. RNAcentral describes it as "gene:LdHU3.33.2650(CDS-product:hypothetical_prote in)". The record is from RNAcentral. Lineage: Eukaryota; Euglenozoa; Kinetoplastea; Trypanosomatida; Trypanosomatidae.
CCUGUGCGCAGGAGCUAGCGUGUGAAACGAAAUGAAGCAGAUUUCAUUUAGAAUGAUUGACACGCUGUGCGCGCAGCUUCUUCAGGAGAAGCACGACACUGCCAGAGUCGACAAGCUCAUCGCUGGCGGCAUUCGCCAGCGCAUCAUCGACAAGGACACGCUGCCCCUCAUAAUUCAAAGGACUGCCGUGACUCAAGGGGAGUGGUGUCUGGCACUACGCGUUCUGCAGAGCCAGCAUCUAGACACUCAUCGUGUGCGGAGGGACGAUAGUAUCUGGGCGAUCGUGGACAAGGGGGUGCCAGACAAUGCCGCCAGCAAAAACUCUGCGCGAAAAGCGCUGCAGGCAAUCUACGGUUCGCGACUGCGAAAACAGUCACCGCCUCUGAUCCGCUAGAUACUUCCGCUCGUUGUCACUAAGCUGUCCACGACACCCACUAGAGGUACAAUGCGACGCAUCGGCCCGUGCUCUCUUUUCCACUACCUGUGGCGUACUGCGCUUUAGCGACAGUGAAC